This 74-nucleotide transfer RNA is filed under the name Metamycoplasma auris 15026. RNAcentral's name for it is "Mycoplasma auris 15026 tRNA-Trp". It matches the Rfam family "tRNA". Rfam says of the family: Transfer RNA (tRNA) molecules are approximately 80 nucleotides in length. The record is from RNAcentral. Lineage: Bacteria; Bacillati; Mycoplasmatota; Mycoplasmoidales; Metamycoplasmataceae.
AGGGGAUUAGUUUAAAGGUAGAACAAUGGACUCCAAACCCAUUUGUGCGGGUUCAAUUCCUGCAUCCCCUGCCA